This 1038-nucleotide long non-coding RNA is filed under the name Homo sapiens (human). Its description in RNAcentral is "HSALNT0151429". The record is from RNAcentral. Lineage: Eukaryota; Metazoa; Chordata; Mammalia; Primates; Hominidae.
UGACAUUGAAUUUGCUGGCAACUUGACCUAGGACUUCCCAGCUUCCAGAACUGUGAGGGAUAAAUGACUGUUGUUUAUAAGCCACCCAGUCUAUGGCAAUUUGUUAUAGCAACUUGAACGGACUGAGGCAGCCACCUCACAUGUGGAUGCCCUUCACAUGUGCUGGACACUGAAGGAGGCUGUUACUACCAUUUUCCCUGGUUGUUGAGAAAAACUUUCAAUACAGCAGUUACAAACACAGCUUGGUGUUUUUGUUUUUUUUUUUAUUUAAAUAUUUUUCAACUGGCUACUAGAAAGUAGCUGUUUGAGGUAAAGCAUCACCUAGAUUCUCAUAGAAAUUUCUUUGCAAUGCCAUCAUGCUCAGGGGUUUUCAUCUUGAAUAUAGGAAGAUGUUUGUUAUUGCUUGCUUGAAUAUCUGUAGAUGCCACUCAGAUUUAACAUUUCAUUUCUUUGUCCUUUUUUAAAAUUCUAGAUGAAAGAUCCAAUAUCUUUAUUUUUCCCCAGAUUCCCGCUGGGAACAGGAGCCAUUCAUAAACUUCCUCUGAAAGGUAGUCCUCCUGCGUCACCUCCUUCAGGACUCACAGCAAGUGUCCCAAGAGGACGGCAAGAUGUGACGGUCAGAUCACAUGCCUUCCGUCUUGUCUUUCCAAUCACCUUUCUUGGCAUUCUAUAAAUCAUCCCUCCUGCAAAGCCAACACCUAGUUCUUGCUUUACUUCACACUCAACAUCCUGAACUCAUUUUCUUUAAAACUUUCCUUCCUGCCACUUAUCUCCAUGCUCAUGCCCUGGUUUGGUGACAGAUUCUCCAAGUCAAUCUGGGUUUGCACCUAGAUUGUCUUUUUCACUCAUCUUUUUCUUGAUAUUUCUCUCCCCUCUCCUUAUUCUGCUCUUGUAGCAGAAUCAUAGAGACAGAAAGUGAAAUGAAGGUUGCCACAGCAGUUCUGGAAUCUUGGAAGUCCAGAUCAAAGUGCCAGCAGGUUCGAUGUUGGAUGAGGGCCCGAUUUCUGGUCCUUCCUUCUCGUUGUGUCCUCACAAAGU